This 703-nucleotide transfer RNA is filed under the name uncultured marine bacterium. RNAcentral describes it as "partial contains 16S ribosomal RNA, 16S-23S ribosomal RNA intergenic spacer, and 23S ribosomal RNA". The stretch from base 138 to 211 matches the Rfam family "tRNA". The record is from RNAcentral.
UCUAAGGAUGUUUCUAGCAACUUAAGCUUGCUUUUGUUCGUGAAACACUUAGCAGAUUGGCAAACAAAGCCGAUCAUAUAUCGAACCGGACUGUCCUCAUAUCUCUUCAGUAUACAUCAGACCUACCGGUCUGUACUGGGUCGGUAGCUCAGGUGGUUAGAGCGCACGCCUGAUAAGCGUGAGGUCGGAGGUUCAAGUCCUCCUCGACCCACCAUUAACGCGUCUAUUUUAGGAUAUGGCGUGUAGGGGGCCUUAGCUCAGAUGGGAGAGCGCCUGAUUUGCAUUCAGGAGGUCAGCGGUUCGAUCCCGCUAGGCUCCACCAUAUAACAAGUUUUGAUCAGAUCGCGAAGCACAAUGGUUUGUGUUUCGCCGUCCGAUUGGACGCAUUGACAUCGUUUAGAGAGAUACAAAUAUCAACAUUGUUUGAUCGCCCGAAGUAGCGGGAUGAUCUCAAUUUGGUGAAGCAAGUUUAGGCUUGUGGAGAGCUUUUGGAUCCACCCUUUUCCUCGGGUGCCCUUAAGUAUGCUGGGUUGAAACGAACAUGUUGUCCAAGUCAAGUACACUAACCCGAGCAUCAGUAAUGUUGCUCAACAGUUCAAACACACCGACAUGUGUUUGAGCGGGAAAGUAUGACUUUUGACUGGAAGAUGAGAUGCCUGGUGAACCAGCUUGGCAUCAUUCAGACGCAAGUCUGACUUUUUCU